Molecule: ribosomal RNA, 429 nt
Filed under: Chloroflexota bacterium
Lineage: Bacteria; Bacillati; Chloroflexota
Description: Chloroflexi bacterium partial 16S ribosomal RNA
Rfam family: Bacterial small subunit ribosomal RNA
Source: RNAcentral
UGGGGAAUAUUGCACAAUGGGCGCAAGCCUGAUGCAGCCAUGCCGCGUGUGUGAAGAAGGCCUUCGGGUUGUAAAGCACUUUCAGCGGGGAGGAAGGCGGUGAGGUUAAUAACCUCAUCGAUUGACGUUACCCGCAGAAGAAGCACCGGCUAACUCCGUGCCAGCAGCCGCGGUAAUACGGAGGGUGCAAGCGUUAAUCGGAAUUACUGGGCGUAAAGCGCACGCAGGCGGUUGAUUGAGUCAGAUGUGAAAUCCCCGGGCUUAACCCGGGAAUUGCAUCUGAUACUGGUCAGCUAGAGUCUUGUAGAGGGGGGUAGAAUUCCAUGUGUAGCGGUGAAAUGCGUAGAGAUGUGGGGGAAUACCGGUGGCGAAGGCGGCCCCCUGGACAAAGACUGACGCUCAGGUGCGAAAGCGUGGGGAGCAAACAGG